This 399-nucleotide ribosomal RNA is filed under the name uncultured Gemmatimonadota bacterium. Its description in RNAcentral is "bacterial SSU rRNA". It matches the Rfam family "Bacterial small subunit ribosomal RNA", at positions 9 to 417 of the family's 1533-position model. Lineage: Bacteria; Pseudomonadati; Gemmatimonadota. The record is from RNAcentral.
GAGUUUGAUCUUGGCUCAGGACGAACGCUGGCGGCGUGCUUAACACAUGCAAGUCGCACGGGGCAGCAAUGCCCAGUGGCGAACGGGUGCGUAACACGUGAGGAACAUGACUUCCGGUGGGGGAUAGCCGGCCCAACGGCCGGGUAAUACCGCAUACGCUGCGCGAGGGGCAUCCCUCGUGUCGGAAAGCAGCAAUGCGCCGGAAAGGUGCCUCGCGGCCUAUCAGCUAGUUGGUGAGGUAAUGGCUCACCAAGGCGACGACGGGUAGCUGGUCUGAGAGGAUGAUCAGCCACAUUGGGACUGAGACACGGCCCAGACUCCUACGGGAGGCAGCAGUGGGGAAUAUUGCGCAAUGGGCGAAAGCCUGACGCAGCGACGCCGCGUGUGGGAUGACGGCCU